RNAcentral lists this ribosomal RNA (424 nucleotides) under uncultured bacterium. RNAcentral describes it as "partial 16S ribosomal RNA". It matches the Rfam family "Bacterial small subunit ribosomal RNA", at positions 360 to 776 of the family's 1533-position model. The record is from RNAcentral.
AAUUUUGUACUAUGGUCGCAAGUCUUAUCCAGCCAUGCCGCGUGAGUGAAGAAGGCCUUCGGGUUNUAAAGCUCCUGCGGACGGAANGAAAUCGCUCAGGCUAAUAGCCUGCGCGGCUGACGGUAUCGUCAUAAGAAGAACCGGCUAGCUAUGUGCCAGCAGUCGCGAUAAUACGUAGGGUGCGUGCGUUAAUCGGAUUCAAUGGUUGUAAAGCGUGCGCAGUCGGUUGAUUAAGACAAACGUCAAUACCCCGGGCUUAACCUGAGAACCUCGCUUGUGACUAGUCAACUAGAGUACGGCAGAGGGGGGUGGAAUUCCACGUGUAGAAGUGAAAUGCGUAGAGAUGUGGAAGAACACCGAUGGCGAAGGCAGCCCCCUGGGCCGAUACUGCCGCUCAUGCACGAAAGCGUGGGUAGCAAACAGG